Molecule: long non-coding RNA, 285 nt
Filed under: Nicotiana benthamiana
Lineage: Eukaryota; Viridiplantae; Streptophyta; Magnoliopsida; Solanales; Solanaceae
Description: long non-coding RNA (NBEN_LNC001634)
Source: RNAcentral
UCCCCCACCUUCCUAAGUCAUAACUACUACCAUCACUCGACAUUAUUAACUAUCACCACCAAACACCACCAUCCUCAAUCAUAAUCACCACUACUGCCAAUAACUACUAGCUACUAGCAUGAACCACCAUCAUCAACCAAAACUACCACCAGCCACCGCCUCUAGUCGGCAUUCACCCGUUAGUCAUCACCACCACCAACUAUCAUAUUUUAUUGAUAGAAUAUUAGGUUAGUUCGCAUUUCAUUUGAAUUUUAUGUUUAAUAAUUUUCAAAUAAAGAUAAAUUU